This 564-nucleotide ribosomal RNA is filed under the name uncultured bacterium. RNAcentral's name for it is "bacterial SSU rRNA". It matches the Rfam family "Bacterial small subunit ribosomal RNA", at positions 338 to 916 of the family's 1533-position model. The record is from RNAcentral.
CCUACGGGAGGCAGCAGCAAGGAAUUUUGCGCAAUGGGCGAAAGCCUGACGCAGCAACGCCGCGUGGGUGAAGAAGGCCUUCGGGUCGUAAAGCCCUUUUGUUAGGGAAGAAGUUCUGACGGUACCUAACGAAUAAGCCUCGGCUAACUACGUGCCAGCAGCCGCGGUAAUACGUAGGAGGCGAGCGUUAUCCGGAUUUAUUGGGCGUAAAGAGCGCGUAGGCGGCCUAUUAAGUCGGUUGUGAAAUCUCUCGGCUUAACUGGGAGGGGUCAACCGAAACUGGUAGGCUUGAGGACGGCAGAGGGAGGUGGAAUUCCCGGUGUAGUGGUGAAAUGCGUAGAUAUCGGGAGGAACACCAGUGGCGAAGGCGGCCUCCUGGGCCGUUCCUGACGCUGAGGCGCGAAAGCGUGGGUAGCAAACAGGAUUAGAUACCCUGGUAGUCCACGCCGUAAACUAUGGACACUAGGUAUGGGGGGUAUCGACCCCCUCCGUGCCGAAGUUAACGCUAUAAGUGUCCCGCCUGGGGAGUACGGCCGCAAGGCUAAAACUCAAAGGAAUUGACGG